GGCGAAGGCGGCCACCUGGACAGGUACUGACGCUGAGGCGCGAAAGGCGUGGGGAGGCAAACAGGAUUAGAUACCCUGGUAGUCCACGCCGUAAACGAUGGAUGCUAGGUGUUCGGGGAGCGAUCUUCGGUGCCGCAGUUAACGCAUUAAGCAUCCCGCCUGGGGAGUACGGUCGCAAGGCUG
This 183-nucleotide ribosomal RNA is filed under the name unidentified oil field bacterium DVIB44. Its description in RNAcentral is "partial 16S ribosomal RNA". It matches the Rfam family "Bacterial small subunit ribosomal RNA", at positions 714 to 896 of the family's 1533-position model. Lineage: Bacteria; Deltaproteobacteria. The record is from RNAcentral.